AUACUUAGCUGCCAGGGGAGACACCGUGAUCAGGAGGGUGGUUUUCCCAGGGCAAGGCUCACCCAUUGCACUGCGGGUGUGCUGACCCCUGCGAUUUCCCCAAAUGCAGGAAACUCGACUGCAAAUUUGAGGUAGUAGGGGAUGCGUCACGUGCUCUCCGA
RNAcentral lists this small nuclear RNA (161 nucleotides) under Echinops telfairi (small Madagascar hedgehog). Its description in RNAcentral is "U1 spliceosomal RNA (ENSETEG00000022255.1)". It matches the Rfam family "U1 spliceosomal RNA". Rfam says of the family: U1 is a small nuclear RNA (snRNA) component of the spliceosome (involved in pre-mRNA splicing). Its 5' end forms complementary base pairs with the 5' splice junction, thus defining the 5' donor site of an intron. Lineage: Eukaryota; Metazoa; Chordata; Mammalia; Afrosoricida; Tenrecidae. The record is from RNAcentral.